Molecule: long non-coding RNA, 1070 nt
Organism: Homo sapiens (human)
Lineage: Eukaryota; Metazoa; Chordata; Mammalia; Primates; Hominidae
Product: long intergenic non-protein coding RNA 1285
Source: Ensembl
GCCUGCUUGUUUCGCCAUGCCCGGGCCGGACGGUGGGGCUGCAGCGGCGAAAGCGACUGAAGUCCGGGAGCAGUCGCAUGAGCUUCCCGGUCACCAGGAGGCCCCGGGAACAGACACCUCACCCUGACAUUGUGGCAGGAACUUCUGGAUUGCUUUCCAAAGUGGCUGCACUGUUUUCUAUCCCCACUGGGUUACCAGCAAUUAAAAAGAAGUACUAGAGAGGCAAAUAUCGGCAGUAUACAUCUAAGCGCUGGUCGGAAAAGAAGGAACUCAGCCCAAGAACUUGCCCAAUCUGAUACUGGAGGUGCCACUCAAGAACCACUCCCUCCAAGAUGUUUUCCUGGAUUUCCUCAGCCUAAAGUAAUCCCUCUUUUUCCUGGCUAUACCAUCUGGAACAGAUGACUUCCAAGGACACCGUAGCAAAGAAAAAGAGAACUGGAAGCCCAUGUGCCUUAAUCGCUUCAUCCUAGAGCUUCCUGAGACCUCCCCGGAGGCUGAUGCUGCCGUGCUUCCUGUACAGCCUGCAGUACUGUGAGCCAAAUAAACCUCUUUUCUUUAUAUAUUACCCAGUCUCAGGCAUUUCUUUAUAGCAAUGCAAGAAUGGACUAAUACAAAGUUCAUUCCAACCUUCAUGGAUGACUUUGAGGGGUUCAAGACUUCAGUGGAGGAAGUCACUGCAGAUGAGGUGGAAAUAGCAAGAGAACUAAAAUUAGAAGUGAAGCCCGAAGAUAUGAUUGAAUUGCUGCAAUCUCAUGAUAAAACUUGAACAGAUGAGGUAUUGCUUCUUAUGGAUGAGCAAAGAAAGUGGAUUUUUGAGAUGGAAUUUACUCCUGGUGAAGAUGCUGUGAACAUUGUUGAAAUGACAACAAAGGAUUUAGAAUAUGACAUAAACUUAGUUGAUAAAGCAGUGGCAGGGUUUGAGAGGACUGACUCCAAUUUUGAAAGAAGUUUCACUGUGGGUAAAAUGCUAUCAAAUAGCAUGGCAUGCUAUAAAGAAAUCUUUUGGGCCAGGUGCAGUGGCUCAUGCCUGUAAUCCCAACAUUUUGGGAGGCCGAGGUGGGUGGAUCACG